GUUUAAUCCGCAACGUCCAUGACGAGACCUGAUGAGCUUUGAGACAAUGUAGCUUGAAGCUGACCCUCUGGAGCAUGGGACCUGUGUCAAGGUUUUAUGUUUACGGAGGGAAUCUAGUUCAGUGAUUUGUUCAGUGUGCCGCUUUUUGGCACAGCUGGCCGCGCUGAUACGUUUUCCUCUUACGACAGGGUAAUGUGCUGCCCAGAGUGUGGUAGGGGAGGUAAC
Non-coding RNA from Pelobates cultripes (western spadefoot toad), 225 nucleotides. Lineage: Eukaryota; Metazoa; Chordata; Amphibia; Anura; Pelobatidae. The record is from the annotation of a GenBank genome assembly.